RNAcentral lists this ribosomal RNA (468 nucleotides) under uncultured bacterium. RNAcentral describes it as "partial 16S ribosomal RNA". It matches the Rfam family "Bacterial small subunit ribosomal RNA", at positions 28 to 507 of the family's 1533-position model. The record is from RNAcentral.
GACGAACGCUGGCGGCGUGCUUAACACAUGCAAGUCGAACGGAAAGGCCCUGCUUUUGUGGGGUGCUCGAGUGGCGAACGGGUGAGUAACACGUGAGUAACCUGCCCUUGACUUUGGGAUAACUUCAGGAAACUGGGGCUAAUACCGGAUAGGAGCUCCUGCUGCAUGGUGGGGGUUGGAAAGUUUCGGCGGUUGGGGAUGGACUCGCGGCUUAUCAGCUUGUUGGUGGGGUAGUGGCUUACCAAGGCUUUGACGGGUAGCCGGCCUGAGAGGGUGACCGGCCACAUUGGGACUGAGAUACGGCCCAGACUCCAACGGGAGGCAGCAGUGGGGAAUAUUGCACAAUGGGCGGAAGCCUGUGGCAGCAACGCCGCGUGCGGGAUGACGGCCUUCGGGUUGUAAACCGCUUUCGCCUGUGACGAAGCGUGAGUGACGGUAAUGGGUAAAGAAGCACCGGCUAACUACGUG